GCGAAAGCAUUCAUCAAUUACUUCUUCUUUAAUCAAGAACGAAAGUUAGAGUAGCAAAGGCCAUUAGAUGCAGCUGUAGUUUUAACCAUAAACGAUGACAUCUCAGGAUAUCAUUGAUGGGGCGCUCCUUCCGUUACCGGGCAACUGGUGACGGGAGCACUAACGCGCCCCUUGUACGCUUGAUGCUGCAGGAGUAAUCCUGUGCAUCGCCAAGUCCAAUGACGCACUGUGUGGGAAACCAACAAGCUGCCUUCGUGGAGUGUAUUUUGGCAACGAAGAAAUUUAAAAGAAUUGACGGAAGUAUCACCACCAGGAGUGGAUCGUGCGGCUUAAUUUGACUCAACGCGGGAAAUCUCACCAGAGCCGAACACCGUGAGGAAAGACAGACUGCAGCUCUUUCUUGAUUCUGUGAUUGUCAAAUGUAGUGCAUGGCCUUUGGGAAGUGGGUACUGUG
This 454-nucleotide ribosomal RNA is filed under the name uncultured Cercozoa. RNAcentral's name for it is "partial 18S ribosomal RNA". It matches the Rfam family "Eukaryotic small subunit ribosomal RNA", at positions 945 to 1308 of the family's 1831-position model. The record is from RNAcentral. Lineage: Eukaryota; Cercozoa.